UUCAGCCCCAAACACUGGUGUGUUACUGAGAGUCACCAUUUCUCUCAACCGUCCUGCAAAGACAACACCAAGUGCUGGCUCCUCUCCCAAGCCAGGGACUGUGUGCUGAGCCUGAGCUAAGGAUGUCAUGAAAAUGUUGCAGAUCAAACUCAGGACUUGGUGCAUGGCAGAUGGCAUUCUGCCAAGUGACCCCCACCAUCACAGCCUGCGGUGAGCGAAUGUGUGUUCAUGCCGUGAGCGUAUCCACGUAAAGCACCCCAGUGCCUCAGACCCACGGGAAUGGCAGUCUUCCCCUGGUGGAAGUCCAGAUGUUGACAGUUGUGCGGAAAGUGUCAAGCGUAGCCUUCUCUUCCCACUGACUGCUCCUCUGCAGAGAGCCCUUCUGACAUCAGCUGGCGCACAUCCUGUUCAGAUGUAUGUAGUAAACCAGCCCCCUCCUCAAGAGCCGCGUAUAAUAAACAAGAGUUUCUAGGCGUGUCGCAGCUCCAUCCCAGCACGUGGCCCACCCAAUCCCAGCUUUUCUGCUUGUGUGUCCUUGGUUUUCACCUCCUUCACUCCAGCCAGGCAGUACCAAACCUGGCAGGUCCUGACACCAGCCUAGGUUUUUUUUUUUUUUUUUUUGGAUUUGUUUCAUUUGUUGAGACAGGGAUUCUCUCUGUAACAGCUCUGGCUGUCCUGGAACUCGCUCUGUAGACCAGGCUAGCCUCAAACUCACAGAGAUUCACCUGCCUCUGCCUCCUGAGUGCUGGGAUUAAAGGUGUGCACCACCACUGCCCAGACUCUUUUACUUUUUAAAUCCAUAUCCUUCUUUAUGUAUGUCUUGUUUAACUGUCCUGACUAGUACACUUAGUACAACAUUAAACACACACACACAUGGCCAGCCAGGCAUGAGGACGUGCCCCUGGGAGACAGAGGCAAGAGGAUCAGGAAUUUAAGUUCAUCUUCAGCAACACAGCAAGUUUGGGGCCAGCCUGGCUUUCAUGAAUACUUGUCUCAAAAAACAAACACAAAAUAAAAGUUAAAAGUGACCAGAGUGGA
Molecule: long non-coding RNA, 1038 nt
Organism: Alexandromys fortis (reed vole)
Lineage: Eukaryota; Metazoa; Chordata; Mammalia; Rodentia; Cricetidae
Exons: 2
Source: RefSeq, a predicted model, not a curated record